RNAcentral lists this ribosomal RNA (440 nucleotides) under uncultured bacterium. RNAcentral's name for it is "bacterial SSU rRNA". It matches the Rfam family "Bacterial small subunit ribosomal RNA", at positions 339 to 794 of the family's 1533-position model. The record is from RNAcentral.
AUACGGAAGGCAGCAGCUAAGAAUCUUGCGCAAUGGGCGAAAGCCUGACGCAGCAAUUCCGCGUGGGGGACGAAGGCCCUCGGGUCGUAAACCCCUUUUGCGAGGGAAGAAGUUCUGACGGUACCUCGCGAAUAAGACACGGCUAACUACGUGCCAGCAGCCGCGGUAAUACGUAGGUGUCAAGCGUUGUCCGGAUUUAUUGGGCGUAAAGCGCCCGCAGGCGGCUUGGUAAGUUCCAGGUGAAAUCUCCCGGCUUAACUGGGAGAGGUCCUGGAAAACUAUCAGGCUUGAGGCAGAGAGAGGGAUGUGGAAUUCCCGGUGUAGUGGUGAAAUGCGUAGAUAUCGGGAGGAACACCAGUGGCGAAGGCGGCAUCCUGGCUCUGUCCUGACGCUCAGGGGCGAAAGCGUGGGGAGCAAACCGGAUUAGAUACCCCGGUAGC